Molecule: long non-coding RNA, 573 nt
Filed under: Mus caroli (Ryukyu mouse)
Lineage: Eukaryota; Metazoa; Chordata; Mammalia; Rodentia; Muridae
Description: lncRNA (MGP_CAROLIEiJ_G0013732.1)
Source: RNAcentral
UCUCCCCGAUGGCUGUAUUAACGCAGCGCGCACAGGCUCGGUCUUUCCGUCCCGGCCUUGGUGGCCGAUCCACCCGAGCCGGUCCCCACUGCCCAGCCGUGCUGCUGCCUCGGACACAAGCGCAGGUUGAAAACUACAAGAAACUCGUGACUGAAUGGCUCCAAGGUGAAGUACUCUUGCAUGUAGUGACCAGGCUUGCCUGUAUCCCACUUUAGGAUUAGUGUCGAAGCUGAAAUAGGUGAAGUCCAUUUUACAAAUAGUGGGGGCCAUGUGAGUUUCCUUGAAUGGCCUUGUAACUGAUUACCCUGAAGGUAGUUUCCUAAAGUUUUUAAUCAAUGUACUAGGAUCCUGCCCCACCCCUUCUGCAUGUCCCACUGCCCUAGAAUCAGAUCUGCAUGGCUAUGACAUGCUGGCCAUUUUAAAGAUGCAAAGAUUUCAUGCUAGAUCAUCAGAAUGUAUCUGGACUUCGUUAGGACAAGUUCUUUGCUAGCAAUCGAGGUGUGUUAACCUGUAUAUUGUUGCCUAUGAGUAAUUUUCCAUAAUCUUAAAUAAAGGCUUCCUGUGUCAAUUCUA